AGGGUUUGAUCCUGGCUCAGAACGAACGUUGGCGGCGUGGAUUAGGCAUGCAAGUCGAGCGAGAAGCCUGGCUUCGGCUGGGUGGACAGCAGCAAACGGGUGAGUAAUGCGUAGAUAACCUGCCCUUGGAUCUGGGAUAGCCGCGGGAAACUGCGGGUAAUACCGGAUAACGUCCUGAAAUCGCAUGGUUUUGGGACCAAAGGUGCCUCCGUCCAAGGAGGGGUUUACGUCCUAUUAGCUUGUUGGUGGGGUAACGGCCUACCAAGGCUUUUAUGGGUAGCGGGCGUGAGAGCGUGGCCCGUCACACUGGGACUGAGACACUGCCCAGACUCCUACGGGAGGCUGCAGUCGAGAAUCUUCGGCAAUGGGCGAAAGCCUGACCGAGCGACGCCGCGUGGACGAUGAAGGCCUUCGGGUUGUAAAGUCCUGUCAGGAACUAUGAAGGCCCGUGGACUCGAUCCGCGGUUUUGACAAGUUCCAAAGGAAGCUCCGGCUAAAUUCGUGCCAGCAGCCGCGGUAACUCGAAUGGAGCAAACGUUGUUCGGAAUUACUGGGCUUAAAGCGCACGUAGGCGGUCUGGUCAGUCGGGUGUGAAAUCCCUCGGCUCAACCGAGGAAUGGCAUUCGAAACUUCCAGACUUGAGUGAAGCAGGGGGGUGUGGAACUCCGGGUGGAGCGGUGAAAUGCGUAGAUAUCCGGAGGAACGCCAGUGGUGAAAACGAUGCCCUGGGCUUCUACUGACGCUGAGGUGCGAAAGCUAGGGGAGCGAACGGGAUUAGAUACCCCGGUAGUCCUAGCCGUAAACGAUGGGCACUAGGUAGAGGAGGUUCCGAUGCCGUCCCUGCCGAAGCAAAAGUGUUAAGUGCCCCGCCUGGGGAGUAUGGUCGCAAGGCUAAAACUCAAAGGAAUUGACGGGGGCUCACACAAGCGGUGGAGCAUGUGGCUUAAUUCGAGCAACGCGAAGAACCUUAUCCUGGGCUUGACAUGCACGGAUUAGCCGGCUGAAAGGUCGGUGACGCCCUUGGGUGGAACGUGCACAGGUGCUGCAUGGCUGUCGUCAGUUCGUGUCGUGAGAUGUUGGGUUAAGUCCCGUAACGAACGAAACCCUUGCCCUUAGUUGCCAGCGCGUCAUGGCGGGGACUCUAAGGGGACUGCCGGUGUGAAACCGGAGGAAGGUGGGGAUGACGUCAAGUCCUCAUGGCCUUUAUGUCCAGGGCUGCACACGUGCUACAAUGGCGAGUACAAAGGGCCGCGAAACCGCGAGGUUAAGCUAAUCCCAAAAAACUCGCCUCAGUUCGGAUUGCAGUCUGCAACUCGACUGCAUGAAGUCGGAAUCGCUAGUAAUCGCGGAUCAGCUAUGCCGCGGUGAAUGUGUUCCUGAGCCUUGUACACACCGCCCGUCAAGCCACGAAAGCGGGAGGCGUCCGAAGUCGCCGAGCUAACCCUCCGGGGAGGCAAGCGCCGAAGACGAAGCCCGUGAUUGGGACUAAGUCGUAACAAGGUA
This 1503-nucleotide ribosomal RNA is filed under the name metagenome. Its description in RNAcentral is "bacterial SSU rRNA". It matches the Rfam family "Bacterial small subunit ribosomal RNA". The record is from RNAcentral.